CCUCUUUUAGCUGAUGAGUAUAUCUUGUCGUAAACUGUGUUAAACAUUAGGUCUCUCUGAUAUGUGCUGAAACCAGGAUCUUUCCAAGAUUUUCCAAACUCGGUUACCAGGAUUGGUUUUCGUAGAAUGUACUGUGCAUCUUGGAUGUGUGCAUUGAGCCAGUUGUUCAAGAAAGUAAGUUGGUAUUCAUUGUUAGAGCUAGAUAACCAUUGAUCAGGAUAUGAGUGAACUGUGGCGAAAUCAAUGCCAGGGAUGCGGUUAUUGGAAAUGAAAUCUGUCCCUAUUUCAAUACCAGGGUUGAGAU
RNAcentral lists this unclassified non-coding RNA (304 nucleotides) under Hevea brasiliensis (rubber tree). Lineage: Eukaryota; Viridiplantae; Streptophyta; Magnoliopsida; Malpighiales; Euphorbiaceae. The record is from RNAcentral.